AUCAACGCUGGCGGCGUGCCUCAGACAUGCAAGUCGAACGAUUAAAGCUCUCUUCGGAGAGUGUAUAGAGUGGCGCACGGGUGAGUAACACGUAAGUAAUCUACCUUCGAGUGGGGAAUAACCCGGGGAAACCCGAGCUAAUACCGCAUAAUGCAGCGGCAUCGCAAGAUGACAGUUGUUAAAGGAAUUUAUUUCGCUUGAAGAGGAGCUUGCGGCAGAUUAGCUUGUUGGUAAGGUAACGGCUUACCAAGGCUACGAUCUGUAUCCGGUCUAAGAGGACGGUCGGACACACUGACACUGAAUAACGGGUCAGACUCCUACGGGAGGCAGCAGUCGGGAAUUUUGGGCAAUGGGCGAAAGCCUGACCCAGCAACGCCGCGUGAAGGAUGAAGUAUUUCGGUAUGUAAACUUCGAAAGAAUAGGAAGAAUAAAUGACGGUACUAUUUAUAAGCUCCGGCUAACUACGU
Molecule: ribosomal RNA, 467 nt
Filed under: uncultured bacterium
Lineage: Bacteria
Description: bacterial SSU rRNA
Rfam family: Bacterial small subunit ribosomal RNA
Source: RNAcentral